This 442-nucleotide ribosomal RNA is filed under the name Streptomyces sp. HVYN-6-4. Its description in RNAcentral is "bacterial SSU rRNA". It matches the Rfam family "Bacterial small subunit ribosomal RNA", at positions 59 to 517 of the family's 1533-position model. Lineage: Bacteria; Bacillati; Actinomycetota; Actinomycetes; Kitasatosporales; Streptomycetaceae. The record is from RNAcentral.
AAGUCGAACGAUGAACCACUUCGGUGGGGAUUAGUGGCGAACGGGUGAGUAACACGUGGGCAAUCUGCCCUGCACUCUGGGACAAGCCCUGGAAACGGGGUCUAAUACCGGAUACUGACCCGCUUGGGCAUCCAAGCGGUUCGAAAGCUCCGGCGGUGCAGGAUGAGCCCGCGGCCUAUCAGCUUGUUGGUGAGGUAAUGGCUCACCAAGGCGACGACGGGUAGCCGGCCUGAGAGGGCGACCGGCCACACUGGGACUGAGACACGGCCCAGACUCCUACGGGAGGCAGCAGUGGGGAAUAUUGCACAAUGGGCGAAAGCCUGAUGCAGCGACGCCGCGUGAGGGAUGACGGCCUUCGGGUUGUAAACCUCUUUCAGCAGGGAAGAAGCGAAAGUGACGGUACCUGCAGAAGAAGCGCCGGCUAACUACGUGCCAGCAGCCG